Rhea pennata is the source of this 2845-nucleotide RNA transcript. It is a transcript of the gene named LysM domain containing 4, with no coding region annotated. NCBI's taxonomy places the organism in Eukaryota, Metazoa, Chordata, Aves, Rheiformes, Rheidae. The transcript is spliced from 6 exons. The record is from RefSeq and is a predicted model, not a curated record.
CCGCGAAGGCAAAGCCGACGGCGCGGCGCUGAGCGCGGGGAGCCGGGGCGCUCAGGGCCGGCCUCCCCACGCCCCCGGCGGCCCCGGCCGGGGCCUCUCGCGGUUUGCUCGCCUGUUUCCCCGCGGAACCGGAGCCGCCUCCUCGCACGGCCCUUGCUGGGCUGGUUCUCCACAGCUGUAGGAAGCGUCGCUCAAACCGUGCGGCACAGUCGCGUUGCACAGGGGCCACAGGUGCUGGUAUAAAAGAUGAGGCUGAAUGAGAGCCGAACAAGAUCCUUUCAGGCUCCUGUCACCAUCCACAAUUACCCAGGCAACCAGGUAUACGUGUUUCAAAAUGGCCACUCGGACACAGAAGAGUCGUCAGAGGAAGAACUUAACGUUACAGAGCUGCGACCCAGGGGCAAAGAGCAGCAGCGGUGCAGCGCUGCCCGGGACAAAGUCGGAGAUGUGGUGCUUCUGGAACGGGAGAUCACGCAGGACGACAAUCUUAACAAGCUAGCCCUGCAGUAUGGUUGUAAAGUCGCAGAUAUCAAACGUGUCAACAACUUCAUCAGGGAGCAGGAUUUGUAUGCGUUGAAGUCCAUCAAGAUCCCCGUGAAGACCCACGGGCUGUUAACAGAAAACAGCCAAGAAUUAAGGCCUCCCCAGACUGCGCGCUCCCAGGCUGGCCUGACGCUUGUGGACAUACCUGAGUCUGAUGAUGGUGCUGCAGCCAGCAGCUGUACUGAAAGCAGAUACCUGAAUGACUACUUUAAGGGGAUUGACAAGAGUAUUCAGGAUGCAGUACAGGCAGAAGUCCAGCUAAGUGCAGAGUAUUGCAUAGAAGCACUGGAGAGGCCGUUGCUCAAGUCGGGGAAGCAGGAGACCAGUCAUGGUGCGGACUGUGGAAUCCAGUGGUGGAAUGCAGUUUUCAUUAUGCUUCUGAUAGGAAUUGUCCUGCCAGUAUUUUAUAUCACCUAUUUUAAAACACAAGAGAAUGGCACAACAGCCCAUACCUCCAACACAACACUAACCUCAAAUAUUUCAGCAGAUGGAUUAGAAGGGAAAUUGCCACAAAACUUAGUUGUAGAAAAAAUCCCCAAGGGGGGAUCAAGCCAAGUAGAGCCUCCCCUCCCAGUACUGAAGUCCAUAAACCAGUGACUCUGGCUGUAGUGGAGUCGGGGGAUAAUGAUACAGUAGAUUUGACUUUCUUUUUUUUUUUUUGUUGUUUUUUAAAGUAGAUGAUGUAAUCCUGAACUUGACUGAACCUGAGGUGAUAUGACUUUAUGGAAGAAUAAGGAUGCUUUGUUGCUUACAAAGAUCAACAGAGAGCUGGUUUUGCAUUCAUGAACUCUGUCGAGGGAAAAUAUUUUGCAGCAGUUUAUUCUCCUGUUUGCUUCAGGUAUUUCUUAAGAAUGGUCUUGCCUAAGAAUCUGAACCCUUUGCUGCUGUGUUAAAGAAUACAGUAUUCAUGUGAUGGGGAAGUUAUGGGCUGUGUGCACUUUGAGAAAAUACUUUUUGCAUAAAGUGAAAAGCAGGGACUUUUUCUUCUCUGAAUUGACGUUUUUAUCUUUGGUACACCGUGGCAGUCUUGGCAUACUUAGCCUCGAAAAGGUGACUUCUAGGUUGUUAGACUAGGUGCACCAUGCUAGUAUUAAAACAGCACGAGGAAGCUGACGUACAUUCACCGUUUCAUCCUUUUGAGUGCGUGUUUAAGCUGUGUUUAUUAAUCAGGAUGAUUCCAGCUUACUAGUGAGUUGGGUGUUAACCAGACAUUUUUUUUCUAGGUGAAAUUCUUCAGCAAGUUCUCUUGAAAUCAAGUAUUUGCAGACAAAACUUGUCGGUGCAGAAUCUAUGCUUCUGCCAGAUGACUGCUCCUGGUAGAGUAGUGGCUGUGAGGGACAGCAGAUGUCACAACAGUAUUAGAGGAUGAUUCGCUGAGGACAGUGUUCGGCCUGUGGUGUGCAGUCCGCGGGAGCUGCAUAGCAGUCCUUAAAAAGAUCAGUGUCCUACAACAGCUCAACUUGGCCCUAGAAGAGCAAGAACAUUUUCUGUAGCGGGUUUGUGUCUCACCACACACAGAGUUCUCCUGCCGUGGGAAGCGGGGCUGGUGGUGGUGGUGGUGGUGGUGGUGGGUCUAGUUCCUUAUUUCUAGUCGCAGCCGCCUCGCCGGGCACCAGGCUUCGGCGCUGCCGGGGGACGUGGUGUCGGGAACAGCAGCGCCAGGAGCUGAGGGGCAGAGGAUGAACCUCCAGAGGCAGCAAGGAGAACCGCGAAGGCUGGUCCUGGAGGGGGCAGGGGAGCUACCAGCAGUAAGAUCUGUAUCUUUUCAGUGUGGUUCCCAGCAGGAAGGAAUAGUUCACAUGUGCAGGAGGAUGAGAGACAGAGCAAGGAUCUGAAAACAUUAGAUUUCUACAAGAUAUGUCAGGACAGUUCGUUUUGAAAACACAAAACUGAAGAGGCAGCACUGCAAGUUUAUGUCACCCAUGUGUCCAUCCUCAUUCGUUUUACUGAUGGACUCUCUCUAUCUUCUGAAUUUGGUGGCCUUCCCAGCACAACAGGUGAAUGGAAAUCACUUCUGGGGUCUUCCCGAUCACUGCCGUCGUAGGAACUGCUGGAGCUGCUGAGGCUGUCGACAGGAGAGCGACCCAUCUCCUGCCGUGACUGCUGCUGCUGCUGCUGCGGCGGCGGUGGUGGUGGUUGCUGCUGCUGCGGUGGCGGCGGCGGCUGCUGCUGCUGCUGUUGUUGUGGGAACCCGGAGGGAGUUACACGGUCCCGGGGAGGUGAAAUUGGUUCAGAUUUUAUGUUGAUGUUUUGGUUGGUAUUAAUGGAUAAAUUUGAACCCUGAGAUAGCUGGCUGCCGCUA